CCCUUAGAUGUCCUGGGCCGCACGCGCGCUACACUGAUGCAUGCAACGAGUUUCAUUUCUCCUGGGUCGAGAGGCCCGGGUAAUCUGUUGAACGUGCAUCGUGAUAGGGAUAGAUCAUUGCAAUUAUUGAUCUUGAACGAGGAAUUCCUAGUAAGCACAAGUCAUCAGCUUGUGUUGAUUACGUCCCUGCCCUUUGUACACACCGCCCGUCGCUCCUACCGAUUGAAUGUUCCGGUGAGCUCUUCGGACUGCGCGGUCUGCAGUUUCUGCGUUCCGUGCGGAAAGUUGCGCAAACCUUAACAUUUAGAGGAAGGAGAAGUCGUAACA
RNAcentral lists this ribosomal RNA (327 nucleotides) under uncultured eukaryote. RNAcentral's name for it is "partial 18S ribosomal RNA". It matches the Rfam family "Eukaryotic small subunit ribosomal RNA", at positions 1470 to 1796 of the family's 1831-position model. The record is from RNAcentral.